GGUUACCUACGGGACGCAGCAGUAGGGAAUUUUCGCCAAUGGGCGCAAGCCUGAACGAGCAAUGCCGCGUGAGUGAGGAAGGUCUUCGGAUCGUAAAGCUCUGUUGCGGGGGAAAAAGGAAGCAGAAAGGAAAUGGUCUGCUUUUGAUGGUACCCCGCCAGAAAGUCACGGCUAACUACGUGCCAGCAGCCGCGGUAAUACGUAGGUGGCGAGCGUUAUCCGGAAUGAUUGGGCGUAAAGGGUGAGCAGGCGGCGCGUCAAGUCUGAAGUAAAAGGUACAGGCUCAACCUGUGCAGGCU
Molecule: ribosomal RNA, 299 nt
Filed under: uncultured bacterium
Lineage: Bacteria
Description: partial 16S ribosomal RNA
Rfam family: Bacterial small subunit ribosomal RNA
Source: RNAcentral